UCUUAUGUUUCUAGGGAAGAUUCCGCAUCUGCUUGAGGAACAGAUAGGGCAAGUGCGAAGGAUACACGGAAGCAUGUGGAGACAAGCGUAACAGCACACGUGCCGAUACAUCCAUUACUCUGUCAAAAGUAAAAGUAUCCCAUAUUAGCAGGGUGGAACGUACUCUAGAUUUGAUGGACUUGUUUUGACCCUCAAAUUCUUCAGUCGGCCUUAUACUCUGGAGGAAACCAGAAAACCCUCCAGCUCAGUUCAAGAAUAAGCCUAUGGAAAGUUACUUCUUCAAAAGCAAAAGUAUCUCAUAUCAUCUCUUCUCAUUUUUCUUCUCUUUAUCCUUCAUGCUGCUGCAAGAUGGGGAGAAGGUGAACAAU
Molecule: long non-coding RNA, 368 nt
Filed under: Malus domestica (apple)
Lineage: Eukaryota; Viridiplantae; Streptophyta; Magnoliopsida; Rosales; Rosaceae
Description: long non-coding RNA (MDOM_LNC008704)
Source: RNAcentral